GGACCAUAUGAUGAAUGUGGAUUAACAUUUUCUCACGACGGUCGUCUGAGAUUUAUUUUGAUGUAAAUGAUCCAAUACUUCUGAUGGUC
Molecule: small nucleolar RNA, 89 nt
Organism: Gastrolobium bilobum
Lineage: Eukaryota; Viridiplantae; Streptophyta; Magnoliopsida; Fabales; Fabaceae
Product: small nucleolar RNA Z161/Z228
Exons: 1
Source: RefSeq, a predicted model, not a curated record